Acanthosepion pharaonis is the source of this 100-nucleotide non-coding RNA. NCBI's taxonomy places the organism in Eukaryota, Metazoa, Mollusca, Cephalopoda, Sepiida, Sepiidae. The record is from the annotation of a GenBank genome assembly.
GCGAUGAAACACCAGUUCUUGUACAAUCUCUGAAGUUAAGCAAUACCAAGCCUGGUCAGUAGCUAGAUGGGAGACUGCUUGGGAAUACCAGGUACGGCAA